GGGAAGGUGGCUCAGUGGCAGAGUGCUUGCCUUGCAUCCAUGAGGCCCUAGGUUCGAUUCCUCAGCCCCA
RNAcentral lists this transfer RNA (70 nucleotides) under Dipodomys ordii (Ord's kangaroo rat). It matches the Rfam family "tRNA". From Rfam's summary of the family: Transfer RNA (tRNA) molecules are approximately 80 nucleotides in length. Their secondary structure includes four short double-helical elements and three loops (D, anti-codon, and T loops). Lineage: Eukaryota; Metazoa; Chordata; Mammalia; Rodentia; Heteromyidae. The record is from Rfam by way of RNAcentral.